GGAAGGGUAAUUUGUGACUUGAGUGGGGGAGGGGUACAGGGGGGAUGAUGAGCCAGUCAAUGACUGUUCCACAAUAUAUGAAGUAGAAAUAGGGGCUGGAGAGAUGGCUCUGUGAUUAAGAACAUUUACUACUUUUCCAAAACACCCAAGUUCUGAUCCUAGCAUCCAUAUCAGGUGAUUCACAAUUACCUGUGACUUCUGCUCAAGAGGGAUCCAAUACACUCGUCUGUCCUAGGUGGACAUAAAAUAAAGCAGAAAUAGUAUCAUGGUUGAAAUUCUGAGUUUAGGGAGAAUUCUUCUUAGAAAAUGAUGCAUUCAAUUUGAAUAUAACAAGUGAAAAGAAGGGCAAAACCCGUUGUAAGUUUUUUGAAAAUACCAAAUAGGAACUUGUACACACACACACACACACACACACACACACACACACACACACAUAUGCACACACUAGCAAUAACUUAUGAAAAAAGAGCCCAUGAAUUCAAAAGGGAACAAAGAUAUGAGUGGGCUUUGAGAGAGGAAGGAAGGACAGAAAUAAAGAAAUAUUAUACCUCUCAAAAAUAAAAGAAAUAAAAAUUAUAAAACAAAAUAAAAUUAAUUAUUGGGUUUCUUCAAAUGCCAAAAUCCACUAAAAAAAACAAAAACAAAACAAAACAAAACAAAACAAAAAACAGGACAAAGGAUGGACCAGAAUGGGGCAGCAUUUGGGGUUUAAAUAAAUAAAUAAAAUGAGAAUGUACAUCUCUGAAAUCAAAUUCAUGGCUUAAAAGUAUGUAACAUGAACUUAACAUAGGAAGAAAAAAAAAGAAAUUAUCCGCAUGUUAUGUUCAAACUCUAGCAUAUAUAUUUUUUGCAUUUUAUUGAGAUUAUAUUGUCAUAAAUGUAUUGCCCAAUGGACACAUUCAAAUGUCCUGUCAGUAAGUAUCUUAUAAAUAAUUUAUUUUUCUGACUCAAAUAAUGAAAGAAACCAAACCUAGAUACUGUAGUCUAGAGACUUCACCCAUAUUUUAUUAGACUGUCCAGAUAAAAUGUAUAAGCUAAUCUCAUAAUCAUGUGUAAGAAGCAGAAGUAGUAUACAAAAUUAAGAGGCUGAAACUGAUAGUGAGUAAAUUAUGUAAUUCUUACAGAAGUGUGACUCAAAGGACGAAAUAACUAUAGAAGAUUUUUAUAAGAAUAGGAAAAUAAGAAAUCCUUAGGAAGACUAAUAAAAUGAAAUUGUCAAGUUAAAGAAGCAAACUUGAAUCAAAAUAUUCCUAGAAAGCUAAAACUAAGUAGAAUCAACAAAGAACAAAGCAGGUAUGGCAGGCCAUUUGUUAUGGUAGCGUGAAGGGUAUAGACACCAUAGAAGACAGAGGAGUUCAUGGAAAUGCAUGGGUGAGUAAACAAGAAGAGGCAAAGAAAACAGUAAGGGAAGAUGGAAGGCAAAGAGCAUAAUUUAAAGAGAAGGGGUGUCCCUGGAGAAGGGCCUCAGCAAGUGAAGUAGAAAAUAUAAAUGGGGGGGUUGGGAGAUGACUUAGCAGUUAUGAGUAAGUACUAUUCUUGCAGAGUCCCAGCACCCACAUUGAGGGACUCACAAUUGUCUGUAACUCUAGCUUCAGGCCGUCCACUGCCCUUUUCUGGACUCUGCAGGUGUCUGUAUUCACAACCAAUCACACACACACACACACACACACACACACAGAGAGAGAGAGAGAGAGAGAGAGAGAGAGAGAGAGAGAGAGAGAGAGAGAGAGAGAGAGGGGGAGAGAGACAGAGACAGAGACAGAGAGACAGAGAGAGAAUAAAUCUAAAAAGAAAAAAGUGAAUGUAACAAUUCUUACCUUGGAAAAUGCCAUUCAUGUGCAUGUUUAAUAGACAUAUUGAGUAUUAAAUAAAAGCAUUCAGAACAGUUGAAAAAUGAGUUGUCUUUUUCAACUUUAAAAGAAAAUAAAAACUUUGUUGUUGUUGUUUGAGUCAGAAAAAUAAAUUAUUUAUAAGAUACUUACUGACAGGACAUUUGAAUGUGUCCAUUGGGCAAUACAUUUAUGACAAUAUAAUCUCAAUAAAAUGCAAAAAAUAUAUAUGCUAGAGUUUGAACAUAACAUGCGGAUAAUUUCUUUUUUUUCUUCCUAUGUUAAGUUCAUGUUACAUACUUUUAAGCUAUGAAUUUGAUUUCAGAGAUGUACAAAUAUCCAGGCAGUAAACUAAGUCAACAGAAAGGUGGUAGGGUGGGGAGACUCAUUCUGUGCACAAGACACACAAUAGAGCUGUAAGAAAGAAUAUGAUUUGAGACUACAUGUCACUCCAGUACAAUUGAUAUAGUCCAAAUGAACUCAGAACUCUUUACUGAUAAACUCUUGCUAGCACAGCAACACCAACAGCUGAAGGAAUAGAGAAGAGUUCUCAUGAACACGAUCAUUGUAGAUAGCAACCACUUGAUAUAAGAAUAAGAUUCAUCAUUAUGGCUACUGCGGUUACAGACCAAAAGGAAAUGUUAUAAACCUUAACAAAAUCGAGUAAUACAAACAACAGAGUUGGAAGAUGGAGGAAUAGCAGCAGAACUAAUCGAAUUUUACUGUCGUCAGCCAUGUCUAAAACCCAAUUGAGCCAGUUUCACAAGGAAGAUACUAAGAUCUCAAAAUUUUGAAUUUUUUUUUCUCAGCUUACAAGGACCUAUGGGGCUUGAUGUUUUCUAUAGGGAAGAAUUUCUUGAGUUCAUGAUUCCUUUUAGUACCACUUCACUUACUACCAAAAAAAUCAACUAAAUUGCUUUUAACAUUUUAAAAAAUAGUAUGAAUGAGCCAAGCUUGGUGAUACAUUUCUUUAACCCCAGAACUCAAGAAGCAGAGGCAGGAGGCAGGAGAGGCAGGUGGAUGUCUCUGAGUUCAAGCCCAUCCUUGUUCACAUUGAGAGCUUCAGGCCACUCCAUUUACAUGGUGGGAUCUUAUCUCACAAUGAAAGCAACAAUAACAAAACAACAACAACAAAAACACAAUGGUGUUUCUUCAGCAGGGUGUUAGGUGCUUGUCAAAUGAAUAUGUUCAAUUUGUGAAAAUGUGUCAAGCUGACACAUUUGAUUGAUUAUUUUCUGCAUAUAUGUUAUGCACGAUGGUGGAAAGCCCUUCAUGCCACUUCAAGGAAUUUGGCAAGAAUUUGACAUUGGCUGGGGAGAAGAAAGUAGGCACAAUUAAAUAAAGCCAAGGAAUGUAUGAUAUUCCUUUUAUCUUGGUCAUCCUGAUAAACCCCUAGAUAUGUAGAAGUAAAAAAAUACUAAGCUUUUUGAACUGUGGAACCUUAGGGUGAGCCAUCCUUCCUUUUGGGGCGGAGGUUCAAGACAGGGUUUCUCUGUGUAUCCCUGGCUGUCCCGGAACUCACUCUGAAGACUAGACUGGCCUAGAACUCAGAGAUCUAUCUGCCUCUGACUUCCCAGUGUUGGGAGUAAAGGCUGGGCCACUGUGCUAGCAUGAAGUUCAGUGGUAGAGCACCUAACUGAUUUGUAUAAGAUUGUAUGUUCAAUCUUCAUUACCAUAGAGAGAAAAUGCUGAUUUUUUAUUGGCUUUUGGACCUUACUGUUAAAGAGAUGAUAUCCUUGGAGGUGAUCCUCUUAAAGGAAUGCUUUUCUAUAACUCCCUGAAAGCUAUUCUAAGUAUUCAUUUGGAUAGCACAUUUAUGUACGGACCUUCAUUCACCUUUGUCAUUCUGUUGAUUGCUUGUGAUUGGAAAUACUUAUAAAUAUCUGAUAUUGGGUAUCCUUCCUGUGAUUUCUCCCCUUCUGAACCAAAAACUAAAAAAGAGUAUAUUGGUGGAGUUGUGACUCUUCCUGUGCCUUCAUAUCUCCCUUAAGUCUGAUCAGAGGCCUAUGUUGUCUAUGUAAGUUUUUAGUUAGGUUGCACUGCCCAGAUUUUCUUAGCCAAUUUAGCUUACAAACAUUGCACUUUAUGUUAGCAUUAGUCUUGAGCAGUCCACAAUCCAGCUGGAACACACGAUCAAUUUCUUUGUCACCUAAAUGAUUCCACAAUUACUAGAAAUUUGGAAAUGUAUGAGUAUGCCAUUAAUGGGUACCUUUACUUUGCUCUAAUUAUCAUUUUGUUCCUGGAAAAUAUUAAACAAGGAGACACAUUUUCCAUUUUAAAAACUCUGAGUGCCUUGUGUAAUUUAAUUUGGUGCAAAGUGAGCGAUUAUCUUGGCCAGAAUUAUAAAAACGCUUAUGUGUGGCAUAAUUUGUUCACCAUUAUUUGUUGUAAAUAUUUAUCUAGUAAUACAUGGUACCCAUAGAAAUGACCCCUUGAUUUCUCCUGAAUGGACUCAAAUGUCUUCCCAAUUCUGAUUUAAACUAGGUGCAAAUCUAAGCGGAUUGCCGAAAUGAUUUAUGUAGUAAUUGGAUCUAAGUUUUAGAAAGAGCAACCUUGAUUAGCUUAGCAAAAAUAACUGUUAACUAAGAGGGGAAAAAAUAGAAUACUGUGGCCACAUAUUAAAGCACAUCACUCUUAUUUAGUCUCCUCUUUUACCAGAAGAAGGUUAUCUGAAUCAUAGCAUUUAGGACGAGGAAUCUAGAAUAUUCCAAAUUGAAGAUUCUUGGGACUCUGUGUUAUGUUUUAAAUUAAGAAAUUCGAAGCCAAGGUUUAGUGUUCGUUCAUUCCAUUCUCAGGGUUUUUUUUUUUUUUUUCAUUUAAUUCCAGGCAACGCAUUCUGCUUCAUUAUAUCAAAGUUGAAGCAAAUUUGCUGCCGUUCUAACAGCCAGUUCAGCUGCUUUUAUAAUGUUGUUCUUGACCUACUGCUGGGACCAUAACUUCCAUACAUUCAACCAAUUGGUUCAAGUGUUUCACAUUUCUUUGGACCAUUUGUGCAAUGAUUCCCUGGCUAGAAAAUAGAGUGUUUGAAUCAUUACUGCUUAAAGCCAUGUUUAGUCAAAAUUUUAUUUUUUGUUUGUUUAAGUAUAGGGCAUUUACUUGACUCUCUUCUAAAACACCUCUAUGAGUUGUAUCUUCCAGACCAUGAACAGUGCAUUUCCCCUCCCCUUCUCUCUCCCAUCCUCCAUUGCUCCCUUUCUAUCUUCUCUUCUCCCUUUUCUUUUUUAAAAUGAUUUUUUUUUCGGAGCUGAGAACUGAACCCAGGGCCUUGCACUUGCUAGGCAAACCCUCUACCACUGAGCUAAAUCCCCAACCCCCUCUUCUCCCUUUUCUUUACUUCCCUUUUCUUAUUAUCUAUUUUCUUUCCUUGUGGGGCCAGAAAUUAAAAUGGAGCAAAUCCUUAUUUUAAAAGUGUUCUCUCUUUUUAAAAAAAAUUAUUUAUUUGUUUUAUAUAUAAGUACACUGUCACAGCCUUCAGACACACCAGAAGAGGGCGUCAGAUACCAUUACAGAUGGUUGUGAGCCACCAUGUGGUUGCUGGUAAUUGAACUCAGGACCUCUGGAAGAGCAGUCAGUGCUCUUAACCACUGAGCCACCUCUCCAGCCCAAUGGAGUAAUACCUAGUAGAAAUAUAAUGUACUUUUGAGUUUCUAGUUAUUUUGGAAUGCUCCUCAAUAGACUAAAAAAAAAAACCCAAGAAGUACAAGGAAGUCAUGUUCACCUAUGAUAUAAUAAAUUAAGAGAACUAAAAAAGGAGCCACUAUACAAAAGAUCAAUUCUACAUUCUUUUUUAAAAAAAGAUUUUAUUUAUCUAUAUGAGUGCUCUAUUUGCAUGUAUGCCUGCAUGACAGAGAGGUUAUUAGAUCCCAUUGUAGAUGGUUGUGAACUGCCACAUAGGUGCUGGGAAUUGAAGUAAGGACUUCUGGGAGAGUAGCCACCAAGCAACCUCUCCAGCCCCAAUCAUGCAUUCUUUUAAAGACCACUGUUGUAUUUAUUGUGCUUAUCCAUUUAUUGGUUUCAAAAUCAUUUUAAUAAAGUUUCGUUAUGAUACUCCCACAAAAAAGACCAUAGAAACAUCUGAGUAAUUUUAUGUAUCAAAGUUAAGUAGAAAUCCACUUCUCUAAUGAAUUUUCUAUUUGCUUGAGGGGAUGGAAGUUUCACACCCAAUGUAAUAAAAAAGGGUAACAAGUCUGGAGUCAUAACUGUCAUCCUGCCCUAGACCUCUGUAAACUAUCUUUUUUGUUUGUUUGAUUUUGCUUGUGUUCUCAGAAGCCAGAUGUACCAUUUGUAAGUGUUAAUUCCCUCACCUGAUAGGGUUAAUGAAAGUGUGCUGGUUUGAGUAAGAAUGGCCCCAUAGGCUCAUGUAUGUGAAUGCUUAGUUCUCAGGGACUGGGACUACAUAGAAGGAUUAGGAGGUAUGGCCUUACUGGAAGAAGUGUGUGGGCCCUGGGGUUUCAGAAGCUCAAAGCAGGCCCAGUGGCUCUGUGGCCUUGGAUGCCAGAUGGCAGAACUCUCAGCUACUUCUCUAGUACCGUGUCAGUCUGCACACUGUCAUGUCCCAAACCCACUGCCAUGGUGAUAAUGGACUAAACUUCUGAAACUGUAAGCAAGUCCCAAUUAAAUGCUUUCUUUUAUAUAAGAGUUGCCGGGGUUGGGGAUUUAGCUCAGUGGUAGAGCGCUUGCCUAGGAAGCACAAGGCCCUGGGUUCGGUCCCCAGCUCCGAAAAAGAGAAAAGAAAAAAAAAAAAAAAGAGUUGCCAUGGUUGUGUCCCUUCACUGCAUUAGAACCCUGACUAAGACAGUGAGACAUAUUUCCUAUAGAAUACAAAGAUAAUGGUAGGUAGUAAAUAUAAGGGGGUUGCUGGCUGUGAUUGUGUGUUGUGCUAAUAUAUACUAUGAUAUACUGUAUAUAGGAACUGUAACAGAAAAGAAAUACUUUUAUUUUUGUAGCUUAUUUAUGUUUUGUAGUGUAAGACAUUCCUUGGGACUUUGCAUUUUUUCUAACUUGGAACUUUUGGGUGUGUGUGUGUGUCUAAAUUAAAUUACUUAACUUUCCUAAUCUUUUUCUGAUAAACCACCUUUUUCUAUCCAGGCUCUGCCUUCUACAGAACCUCCAAAAACAGUUCUACCAGCUGGGACAAGAGUUCAAAUUAGAUCAGUGUUUCAAGAUUUGGAUACAUGGGGUAGAAGAACAUUAAGGCAGAACACUGCGAUGCUCCAAUUUUUGAUCUACUGUGACAUUAUUAGAAACAAAUGUAUGAGUGUCUAAUAAACAGCCAAGUCCUCCUGAAUUCAGAUUGCUUCUGGGUUGGUGCCCUUAGAACGGAACCCUGCCAUGUGUUAUUAAAGUGCCUGCCGUCCGAAUGCUCAAGAGACUGAAGAAUGGUGAGGAAUGAUCGGCUGCUAACUGGCAACUUUGAUGUUUUACAUCAUUUUAAGAGAAAUAAUCAGCAACUUGGACCUUCAUUCAGAAACAUGGCUGCUCUCCGGAAUCCCUCUCGAAACGUUUUGCAGCAUCAAAAGGAAGAAUUGUUCUGAGCUGCGCCUGCGCAUGACUAUGGGGGUGCCCCCUGGGAGUUGUUUGGCAAAACUGUUACUUGCUUCUUGGUUCUCAGAUCUGUUCCUUGUCCUUAAUGUCCUCCACUGUGUAUCACAAAACACGCCAUUUACCUGGCCUCUGGCAGGUUAGACCAAUGAAGGGCGGACCAAAAGAGUGGCAGGAGAGUGGAGGGAAGAGGCCUGGCUAUCUCUCUCCCCACUCGCUGCCUCAGGCAGCUGCUCCACAGAGACAGAUUUCCUGAAAAGUUAAUGAAGCCGAGGCUCCAGGGCCUCUCACUUGCAUAGGCCUCUGCCAAUGUCCUUUGUGCAUACUUUUGAACAGCUUUAUUGAAAUAUAAUUUACGUGCCAUAAAAUUCACCCAUUGUGCAUAUAUGGUUCAAUGGUUUUUACUAAAUUUAUCGAGUUGUACAACCAUUGCCACCAUCCAUUUUUAAAAUAUUUCCAUCACCACCACCACCACCCACUAAAUUCCCCUGUGUCUGUUUUCAGUUAUUCCUGGCUCCCAACCCCAGGCUUUAGUAACCACUAAUUUGCUUUCUGUCUCUAUGGAUUUGCUUAUUGUAAACAUUCACAUCAAUGACAUUGUAGUAUGUGGUCUUUUGUAACUAGUUUCCUUCACUGUGCCAAGUAUUUUUUAAGGUUCAUCCAUGUAGGAGUGGACAUAAGUGUAAAAUUGCCCAAUACUGUUUCAUUUACUAGAUAUUUAUUUUAUUAAUAUAGUCACCAAUUGAAAGACAUAUGUUUGACUUUGCACUUAUAAAUGUGUGUCUUUUCUAAAGAACAUUCCCAAGAUCCUCUAAGCUUCAGGUCUCUAAAUCCAGAAGCUUCCCCCAUCUCUGUGUCACUAGCCCUGUGGCCAGUAACCUCAAUGAAAAGCUCUUGUGAUCCUGCUUCCAUUGGGAUCCUCUGGUGGUCCACUGUCCUUCAACAUGGGGUAGAAUUAGAGUCUUCACCCUACCAAAGACAAUGUGCCUCAAAAUUUGGGAUCUUUAGCAGGGCAUCAUAGCUCAUGCCUUUGAUAUCAGUGCUCUGGAGACAGAGCCAAACAGAUCUCUGUGAGUUCAAGGCCAGCCUGGUCUACAAAGUGAGUUCCAGGAUAGCCUGGGCUACAUCGAGAAGCCCUGUCUCAAAACAACAAAACAAACAAACAAACAUACUGCUGAGCUUGCAGAUAACACAGCAACAGUUCUGACAGGUGAUGACAGAAUGGCUGAGCAGUCUUGCCAUCCUUGUCUACCAAGAGCAUUAUGGAGCAGAGAUAGAUAUGUCCGCAACAAUAUGUACUCUCCAAUGGCAGCAGCCAUCCUUGGUAUUCCCCUUUGAUGCAGCAAAAACAGGCAAUGCUGGUGUGUGGAGAAGGCAGGGUAGGUGAUCAUAUGAGGCCAAACCGUACUUCUGUGGGGCUCAAGUAGCUUCACUGGGGAAUUCAUGCUACACAUACCCUGGCUUGCCUGCUUUGGAAACGGAUUUAAGGCCCCAUUAGGAUACACUGCCAGUUUGUAUAGAGUAGGUCUGUAGAGGUAGACUGCUAUAGUAGGAAAUCCAGUGCCUCCUUGUCCCUUCUGCUUGAUAAUGAACCUGCUCUAGGAAAGGACCAGUCUUGGAAAGCAGAAAAGAAGCCCUUGGCAUUGGCUUCUCAUCUUUCUAGCCCUGUCCUGGUGGGUAGGAGGGGCCAGUGCCUUUCAUUGGAAAUUGUUUUUGCUUUCAGCCCCAGCACUAUUAUUGUUUCUGCUGGGUGGAGGCCCAAGAGGAAACAGACCAUUAAGAAGGCCUCUGGUAUCAUUUGGUCCCUUUUGGGCUGAGUGGUCCCUGCCAACAGCAAUCAUUCUUCACUCACACCCUGUGGUCCUUUGCUUCAAGCAGCUUCUCCCCUUUUCCUGCAUGAUUUCAUGGAUCAGCAUCUUCGUUCCCAUCCCCCAGCUCUGACAGAGGCAUUGGCAGCUUCCUUGGACACAAGUGGGCUCAGAAGCUCUCCCUGAGUUGCAGAGGUGAUGGAUUGCCUUGGAGUUAUCUUGCCUUUCUCCUAGCAGCAGACACCCAGCUGACAGAGGGACAGACAGAAUGUUGGCAAUAGGUGAGCCUGAUGUCAGAAACCCUGUAUGCAGUUUGUUUCUGAGAGCCCGUCUAAAUAGUGAAGAAGGGCAUACAAAGAAGGAAAUUGGGAAUCAAAUGGCUGGGAGGAUUACAAGAUUGAUUUCAUUCUUGCUGCAACUGUCAGCUGCUUGGGGAAUCUGAGCCCAGGCCUCAGCUAGAGCUGAGGAGAAGCUAAAGACAAUGGCUAAUAAGAAAAAUGCUUCCCCCAACCCCGCCUUCUAAGGCCCACUGCAGUUUGCUCUUGCUGGAAUAGAUUUCACUAAGCAACUCUGUAUUGAGUCUCAUCAUUUACAUCUUCAUUAAAUAUUAAUCUGCUCUCCUGCA
This is a long non-coding RNA of Rattus norvegicus (Norway rat), 9803 nucleotides long. RefSeq lists it as uncharacterized. NCBI's taxonomy places the organism in Eukaryota, Metazoa, Chordata, Mammalia, Rodentia, Muridae. The record is from RefSeq and is a predicted model, not a curated record.